CCCUUCAAAGCACGUUGUCUUCCUCCCUCACUCCCAUCCAAAUCCUCUCCCUCCAUCGCCGCCACCACCGCCACCGCCUCUACUUCCUCAGCUCACCAUCCUCCCCUUCUUUCAACACUCUCGCUCCCUCUCCUCUAUCGCAGAUUACUUGUUGCACACCAUCCUCUAUUUAACUGCGGCUGGGUGUGGACCUUGUAAGUUUCUGUGGUUGGCUUUUCUUAAAGGUUAUAAAUGAGCCUACAAAUGUGAGAAACCAACACUUAAAGGAUUUAUCGUAUGGUCCGAUGAGUUACACUAAAGAAUGGCACACAUACUUUGUCAAUGGGUACAAAUUCCAUACCCGAGCAUGGACUUCUGGGAACAAAACAAUAAAUAGUGGGGUUUACGUAAAAGGCCUUAUAGAAGGAGUCGCAGAUGAUUUUUAUGGGGUCAUUCAACAUAUAUAUGAGCUAGAGUAUAAUACUACAAGCUAUCCUAAGGGAGUAGUAUUAUUUUAUUGUCACUCGUUUGAUCCAACAAGUAGAGGAACAAGAGUUGAUCAUAAAUAUGGCACGGUAGAAAUUCGAAUGGAUAGAAGUUAUAAUCUAUUUGACCCAUUCAUCGGUGCACAUAAUGUACGGCAAGUGUAUUAUGUGCCAUAUCCAACAACAAAAAGGGACAAGCGUGGUUGGUGUGUUGCAAUUAAAAUGAAGCCAAGGGGUUACAUUGAAUUCGAUCAUGUACAAGAUGAUGUGCCUUACCAAGUUGACGAAAUGUCACAUGUCAACGAGGUCAUUGAAGUUGAAAGUAUUUCUGGAUUGCAAGAUUUAAGAGGUAGUGUUGAAGAAGUAGACCCUGCUAAUAUGUUGACAAAUGAAGAAGAAUCAAAUAAUUUAAAUGAAGAAUCAAACAAUAUUGAACAAGACAAUGAAGGGGAAUUAGAAGAUGAAUUUGAAGUUUACAAUUCUGAAGAGGAUUAGACAUUGAUGUUUGUUAGUUAGUUAUAAUGUUUGUUUUCUUCUAAUACU
Molecule: long non-coding RNA, 1007 nt
Organism: Glycine soja
Lineage: Eukaryota; Viridiplantae; Streptophyta; Magnoliopsida; Fabales; Fabaceae
Exons: 3
Source: RefSeq, a predicted model, not a curated record